RNAcentral lists this ribosomal RNA (511 nucleotides) under Hymenosoma sp. 2 PRT-2008. RNAcentral's name for it is "partial 16S ribosomal RNA". It matches the Rfam family "Bacterial large subunit ribosomal RNA", at positions 1858 to 2620 of the family's 2925-position model. The record is from RNAcentral. Lineage: Eukaryota; Metazoa; Arthropoda; Malacostraca; Decapoda; Hymenosomatidae.
CCUGCCCAAUGAUAUUUAUUUAAAGGCCGCGGUAUUCUGACCGUGCAAAGGUAGCAUAAUAAUUAGAUCUUUAAUUGGGAUCUCGUAUGAAUGGUUGGACAAGGCAAAUACUGUCUCUAUUUUAACAAUUGAAUCUAAUUUUUAAAUAAAAAAGUUUAAAUAUUUCAAAAAGACGACAAGACCCUAUAAAAUUUUAUAUUAUAAAUUAUUAAUUUUAAUUUUAGUACAUAAAAAAUUUUUUAUUUGUUAAUAUUUUAUUGGGGCGAUAAAGAUUUAAUGAAAUUUAACUUUCUUCUAAAAUAACAAUUUUGAUUGAUUUUAUGAUCCUACUAUAAGUGUAGAUUUAAAAUUAAAUUACUUUAGGGAUAACAGCGUUAUUUUUUCUGAGAGUUCUUAUUGAAGAAGAAGAUUGCGACCUCGAUGUUGAAUUAAAAUAGCUUUAUGACGGAGGGGUUAUAAAAGAAAGUCUGUUCGACUUUUAAAUAUUUACGUGAUCUGAGUUCACACCGGA